RNAcentral lists this ribosomal RNA (253 nucleotides) under uncultured bacterium. Its description in RNAcentral is "partial 16S ribosomal RNA". It matches the Rfam family "Bacterial small subunit ribosomal RNA", at positions 524 to 776 of the family's 1533-position model. The record is from RNAcentral.
GACAGAGGGUGCAAACGUUGCUCGGAAUUACUGGGCGUAAAGCGCGUGUAGGCGGGCGACUAAGUCAGAUGUGAAAUCCCUGGGCUCAACCCAGGAACUGCAUUUGAAACUGAUCGUCUAGAGUGAUGGAGAGGAGAGCGGAAUUCCUGGUGUAGAGGUGAAAUUCGUAGAUAUCAGGAGGAACACCGGUGGCGAAGGCGGCUCUCUGGACAUCUACUGACGCUGAGACGCGAAAGCGUGGGGAGCAAACAGG